Molecule: long non-coding RNA, 790 nt
Filed under: Strigops habroptila (Kakapo)
Lineage: Eukaryota; Metazoa; Chordata; Aves; Psittaciformes; Psittacidae
Description: lncRNA (ENSSHBG00005016577.1)
Source: RNAcentral
AGCCCCGGCCCAGGAGCGGCUGCCAGGAGCUGGUGACCGCGCUGCGCCGCCCGCCCGCCGCGCUCCGCCACCGGCUCCGGGCUGCCCCCCGCUGCUACCGGGGCAGGAGCGGGCCGCGGCUCCAGCCCCCCCCCCAACCCCGUCUCUUCAUCAUCAUCAUCAUAAUAAUAAUAACAGCAGCAGCAGCAUUGGUGGGAGCGCGGAGGGAGGAGGCGAAGGGGCUGCGGAGGAAUUUGGGUCCUUUUCCUUUUUUCCCCCUCUUUUUUUUUUUUUUUUCCUUGAUAUAUUCCCUUAAAAAAAAAAAAAGGGAAAAAAAAAAAAAGAAGGAAGAUGUUUUAAAAAUGCAAGCGGCUUGCCCAGCUGCACACACCCACCCUCGCCUCCCUCCCCCGGCUUGCGCACACCGCACGCUCGCACUCGCUCGCUCGACCGCGCUCGCUCGGGUGUCAAAACCCGGCGGGCACCCAGCCUGGUGCGGGCACUGCCCCUGGCCCUUCCCCUGCCCCGAGCCCGCCUGGGGGCCGCCGCUUCCCACUACCAACACCCCCCCCCCCCUUCUUCUUCCGCCUCCCCACCGCCGCGCUUUUCCUCCCUGCUCUUGGCGCUGAAGAUCGGAGCUUCCCCCGCUUCCAAAUGAGUACCCUGAGAGCGUAACAGUAACAGCUCGGUACAUUGGUGCUUGACCUCAGCUGAAAUCCCAGCAUGCCUCGUGCUUCCAAGUUUAAAACUGAACGAUUAAUCUUAGAAAUGUGCUCUAUGGACACACACAUGCCAAAAAAAAAAAAAAAAA